GUCGGAGUCCUCCAUGGGCUCGGGUUCCUCUUCCACGGGUUCCUCCUCCAUAGGCUCCUCCUCCGGAUCAGAUUCCUCAGGUAGAGGCACCAUCUCCUCCUCCUCAUCAUCAUCAUAAAUAGGGGCAACUACCGAUAUAGGCUCCGCUAUCAAGGGUGCCUCAUAGACUGCAUGGAUAUCACGCGGCUCCUCCUCUACUAUUCGGCUAGGUCCUCCCAUGUCAGUAAUCCUACAAUCACCAACAUAAGACAAGACAAACAACAACU
Molecule: long non-coding RNA, 266 nt
Filed under: Panax ginseng (ginseng)
Lineage: Eukaryota; Viridiplantae; Streptophyta; Magnoliopsida; Apiales; Araliaceae
Description: long non-coding RNA (PGIN_LNC007324)
Source: RNAcentral